RNAcentral lists this ribosomal RNA (506 nucleotides) under uncultured bacterium. RNAcentral describes it as "partial 16S ribosomal RNA". It matches the Rfam family "Bacterial small subunit ribosomal RNA", at positions 29 to 523 of the family's 1533-position model. The record is from RNAcentral.
AGUGAACGCUGGCGGUAGGCCUAACACAUGCAAGUCGAACGGCAGCACAGGAGAGCUUGCUCUCUGGGUGGCGAGUGGUGGACGGGUGAGGAAUACAUCGGAAUCUACUUUUUCGUGGGGGAUAACGUAGGGAAACUUACGCUAAUACCGCAUACGACCUACGGGUGAAAGCAGGGGAUCUUAGGACCUUGCGCGAUUGAAUGAGCCGAUGUCGGAUUAGCUGGUUGGCGGGGUAAAGGCCCACCAAGGCGACGAUCCGUAGCUGGUCUGAGAGGAUGAUCAGCCACACUGGAACUGAGACACGGUCCAGACUCCUACGGGAGGCAGCAGUGGGGAAUAUUGGACAAUGGGCGCAAGCCUGAUCCAGCCAUACCGCGUGGGUGAAGAAGGCCUUCGGGUUGUAAAGCCCUUUUGUUGGGAAAGAAAUCCAGCUGGUUAAUACCCGGUUGGGAUGACGGUACCCAAAGAAUAAGCACCGGCUAACUUCGUGCCAGCCGCCGCCGUAA